GCACCUGUGGCUCAAAAGGGUAGGGCGCCGGCCCCAUGUGCCGGAAGUGGCAGGUGCA
RNAcentral lists this transfer RNA (58 nucleotides) under Otolemur garnettii (small-eared galago). The record is from Rfam by way of RNAcentral. Lineage: Eukaryota; Metazoa; Chordata; Mammalia; Primates; Galagidae.